RNAcentral lists this ribosomal RNA (808 nucleotides) under uncultured bacterium. RNAcentral's name for it is "bacterial SSU rRNA". It matches the Rfam family "Bacterial small subunit ribosomal RNA", at positions 8 to 778 of the family's 1533-position model. The record is from RNAcentral.
AGAGUUUGAUCCUGGCUCAGGACGAACGCUGGCGGCGUGCCUAACACAUGCAAGUCGAGCGGAGUUAAGUUCGACACUGACAGCUUAAGUAUCAGGAGGAAGGCGGAUAUUUGAGAUGUGAGUGUUGGACUUAACUUAGCGGCGGACGGGUGAGUAACGCGUGGGCAACCUACCUUUUACAGGGGGAUAACACAGGGAAACCUGUGCUAAUACCGCAUAAAAUCACAAUACGGCCUCGUAUAAUGAUCAAAGGAGCAAUCCGGUAAAAGAUGGGCCCGCGUCCAAUUAGCUAGUUGGUGGGGUAAAGGCCUACCAAGGCGACGAUUGGUAGCCGAACUGAGAGGUUGAUCGGCCACAUUGGGACUGAGACACGGCCCAGACUCCUACGGGAGGCAGCAGUGGGGAAUAUUGCGCAAUGGGGGGAACCCUGACGCAGCAACGCCGCGUGAAGGAUGAAGGUUUUCGGAUUGUAAACUUCUUUGAUGAGGGACGAAACAAAUGACGGUACCUCAAAAACAAGCCACGGCUAACUACGUGCCAGCAGCCGCGGUAAUACGUAGGUGGCGAGCGUUGUCCGGAAUUACUGGGUGUAAAGGGCGUGUAGGCGGGGAUGCAAGUCAGAUGUGAAAUACCGAGGCUUAACUUCGGGGGUGCAUCUGAAACUGUAUUUCUUGAGUGUCGGAGAGGAAAGUGGAAUUCCUAGUGUAGCGGUGAAAUGCGUAGAUAUUAGGAGGAACACCAGUGGCGAAGGCGACUUUCUGGACGAUAACUGACGCUGAGGCGCGAAAGCGUGGGGAGCAAACAGGAU